UGGCGAAUGUCUCUUGAAUGUCUGUUGAAUGUGCGAAUAUAAAACCAACUUUACCUCGGUCUGUAUUGCUAGCAAAUGAGCUAGAAAGUUGUAAACAUUCGUGAACGCAAACCAACAUUCUAGCUAGCUAGGUAAAUGCUACAUAGGUUUAACAUAACCAAACUGAUAGCUAACGUUACUUACUCUUUGGAUGGUUUCUUGGUUGAUCUGAGCUUUUCCUCUAUGUCUUUUUGGUACAAAGGCAACAGACAUUUUGAGUUACAUUGAAUGAUAGACGUUACCGCCUGGGAUUUUCGGCCGUCACGAUAUAUGGAACGCCGUUUGGGUCUUAAAGCACGUGGUCAAAACGUAUGGAACGCCGUUUGGGUCUAAACAACAAUCGCAGCAGUACUGUAAUGGAUUGCUUCAUGAAUGCUGUCUCCAACGGACCAUGGAGGAGAAAACAACACUGUCUGCUUGUUGAAUACUACUUCUACAAACGAGGCUACACUUGUGGCAGCACCUAUUCCUGUGCCCCCACAUCUUCUGCACCACUUCUUGUGGCCCCCUCCACCUAUACCACUUCCUGUGGCCUCCCCUCCACCAUUCCCUGAGGCUUAUCGUCCACCUUCACCACACUCUUUUGUUGAUGUUGGUGAUGACAAUGAGACGCUGACGGAAAAGGGGCAGCUGAUGAGGGUGGUCCAUCGAGAAUCUCUCCGGCUGCUAAUGAGUGCCAUCCAUUCCUCUGGAGUCUUUGAGGGACCUGAUUGGCAAAAAUGCCUUUCUUGCAACUCUCAAGCACUCUAUGAUGGCGUAUACAAACAGGUGGGCCCCAUGACUGCUGUCUGUCUGGUACAUGGGGGUGUAGAGACACAUUUUUUCAGAGAGGCUAUACAGGCAAGUGUGUGGCCUACAACCUCCUGUGCCAGAACUGAAAGAAAUUGCGGAAUAUGACUUCAGAGAGAAGUUGGAGAAGGUAAGUAACUUUAUACUGUGAUGGAUGUUGUUACUGUUAAUUAGCACUAAGUUUGAAAAAAAAUUGGCUUGUAGUUCAUGAAUACUUUUCCACAUGGAUUUGGUUUCCUUUUGUUGGCAGUCAAUCUUUUUUAAGGGUAGUGAUAAUCAGUUUAUUGUUUUGCUAAUUUGUCCCAAAACACAGUUCAAUAAACAAUUUAAGAUCCAGUAUGCACAAACCAUUGAUGAGGCACUGGAAGCGGUCAUGUUGGGUCCAGUGUGAUUCAUUCGUACAUUGAAGAGGGAUGUCCUGGUGGAGUCAGCCACAAAGUUUUACGGGAUGCUCUUGAGUAACAUAGCUUCUCUCUUCAAAGCAGAGCGCUCCCCACCUGGUACCAAUCAAAGAGCGAUCGAGAGAAGAGUCAUGUUUCUGGAGGGACUGGCUUCUGGAGGUGGAAGGGGGGAACACAUACCCUUUAACCAUGGAGGUUUUCAUUUUCACUUCGGGGGCUUCAGCAUUCCUAGGCUGGGAUUGCCAGUGGAGCCACAGCUACAGUUCUCUCUGCUACCACACGGCAAGCAGGACCGGAGUGCCAAGUCUAGGUCCAAGAGGCUUCUAAACAGAUUCUAACCCCAAGCCAUAAGACUACUGAACAUCUAAUUAAAUGGCUACCCAGACUAUUUGUUGCUACUCUAUCUAUGCGUAGUCACUUUAAUAUCUCUACCUACAUGUAUUUAUUAACUUGACUAACCGGCGCCCCCGCACAUUCUCUGUACCGGUAUCCCCUGUAUAUAGCCUCGCUACUAUUUUACUGAAUGCUCUUUAAUUAUUGACUUAUCUUUUUUUUUUUGUACCGCAUUGUUGGUUAAGGGCUUGUAAGUAAGCAUUUCACUGUAAGGUCUACACCUUGUAUUUGGCGCAUGUGACAAAUACAAUUUUAUUUGAUUUAAAUAAUUAAUUUAAAAGGGAAUUAUACAAAACGUUUAUUGCAUGACUACCUAGUAAGUUCGGAAUACUGCAGCCAAUGUUAAUUGGUGAUGGGUCCCAAAAUAAUUGAUAUUAAAGUUUCCGACAGGAUUGUCCAUCAGCAAAAUAAAGUUGUGUAGUGAAAGUUUUCAAAAACAUUACAACCAACCAGAAUCAAUUGGACACAGUAAUACAUAAUGCAGCUUUAAUAUUUUAAUACAUGUAUGAUUUCUUAGUGGGUAAACUGAGCAUUAUGCAAAGUAGUUAAGUCAUGUAUGUCAAGGGACUAUGUUACCAUAAAUAAAUCUUCCAGUAAAUAUGGACAUUUCAUUUACAUGUGUAAUGGCAAAAGACACUGUAGUUGGUACAUAGGUCAUGGUGCAGCAAGUUUAAGGGUAGUGGAGAAGCACAAGUGGGACUUUGAUUGAAGUAACUGAGGGCAGAAAAGGAUAUCAGGGUGCCCAGGAACUUGAAGCUGCUGAUCAUCUCCAUGUCAAUGUACAGUACAUCUACUGUACAUUGACAUGGAGAUGACAUGGAGAUAUCCUUUUCUGCUUUUCUGGAGAAUGGUCAAGUAUCACCAGCUACUUUGUUUUGUUUACGCUGAGACUGUUGACGUAUCACCAUUAUGUCAGGUCCCACAGCUCCUUCAUGUACUUAUGUGUACCAUGGUAGUGUCGGGUCCAUUCUGGGGAUACACAUUCUCAUGAUAAUGUAAAAAAAUCUAAAUUUGUUAUUACAGAAUUUACACCCAGAACCCUGAGUCUGCUAACCAGUUUCUAGGUCAGGAUGGCGUUGAAAGCAGAGCUAUAAAAUAAAAUGCACUCUGACGUAUGUAAAAAUGUAUAAUUGACAUUUGUUGUGACAAUAGGCAAACUGGAGUUGUACAUUGUGCUACACAAUCUAUUGUUCUAGGUUUUUAAAAUCGAUAUCAACUGGGCUGCAGUGGAAAUGGUAAGAAACUUCGAUAUCAUGGGGCCCUAUCUUCUAACUUCCUUUCCUGGUACAGACACUGCCGUCAAAUGCCAACCAGAGGCUCUCCGUCCUACGGUGGCUGAAGACGUUUUGCCUGACGUCAAACAUUAACAAGAGUGUCAGAUUAAAGUGUCUGGAAAAAAUGUAAAGAGCACAUUACUUUUGUCAUCUUUACUGGCACAGUUUUAAAAUGUCUAAUUGUAGUCACUUUCAAUUGAUUUAUUGACUCCAAGAACCAUAGAUUGUUUGUAGUUCAUAACAUUAACACAACUGACAAACACUGCUUGACUGUAUUUGGGAUGCAUGUUUUAAUAACAUUGGCUAUUUGAUUGGGCUUAACGUUGCAUACCUUGUCAUGUUGUGCAUGCAUGCCAACCAGGUGAGAAUCACCUGAAUUAAAUGAUACUUGAUGAAUCAGGUCUUCAGCCUCCCCCUUGCCCACUCCAAACUCCCCUUCAAUGUUCC
This 3343-nucleotide long non-coding RNA is filed under the name Salmo salar (Atlantic salmon). RNAcentral describes it as "lncRNA (ENSSSAG00000082983.1)". The record is from RNAcentral. Lineage: Eukaryota; Metazoa; Chordata; Actinopteri; Salmoniformes; Salmonidae.